ACUCUGGAACCGCCUCAAGGACCGAGGACGUCCUCAAAGACCUUCUGGGGUCCGUCGGAGGAGGAACUGGACACCACCCAAAGACCUCCGACGCUCCCAAAAUGACUACUGGCAGUUACUCGAUGUGGCCUACCAGUGGAACCUCCUGGAGGACUGUAGAAGACCUUUAGAACUCUGACAAGAACAAAUUGUCUAGUUAAAGAGCAAUACAACCAUCCAAGGACCCCUUAGAAUUUCCUAUUGGACCUCAAGAACCCGAUAGAAUUCAAUUCUUGGACCAUUCAGGUGUCCUAAGAACUUCCAGGAGACCUUCGUUGACUUUGUGAGCCUCCCCCCCCCCUGUUAAAAAACAUGCUGAAUGCGUCGCCGAUGUGGUGACAAAGGGUCUUUUACCUGAGGCCUGAACCUCGGUGAUGUACUGCUGAAGGUCGUGACCCUGCUGGAUGACCUCAUAGAUCAUGUUGUUCAUGGCCAGCCUUCGCUCCAUGUGCCUGCAGAUCAAUAAUCUCCAUCAGUGCCUCGCAGUGGACCCUUUUUUAACGUUCUGUUACUUUACUUGGUUACCUGUGGAUGCGCUGCUGCGCUAGCGUUAGCAUGUCGGCGCUAGCUUCCGCUAGCCGCGCCUGGCCCAGCACUAGCUUGUCCUGGUUAGCGUCAGCGAGCCGCGAUGACGCUAGCCUCUCUGCGGAGAAGUCCUGGGACUGUUUGUGAAGGUCCUGCUUCCAGGCGUCCAUUUCCCCCGUUACCUAGGAAACGGUGACACACGUCAGGUGGGGGGCACCCUGACGUAUUGAUGGUCAAUAAACCUCGUACCUCCAGGGUGCACUGCUGCAGGAUGCGGAGCUGCAGGUAAACGUCCAGUCGGAUCUUCCUCUGGUGGAAGAGUUCUUCCAGCUGAACGUGGGACUCCUCCAGCUGCUGAAGCACUGUCUCCACAUGGACCAACGAGCUGCCCUGAGGCCUGAAACAAACGCACCUCAAAGGGUUAUAGAUAUCCGGCCACUUGGACAGAGGCCAUUUGAUGAAGAAAACAAUCACCCCUCAAAUCAAAAUGCUGAAAGCGAAAUGCUAGAAAUUAAUUUGAAAGAUUUUUUUAGUAGUAAUAUUAGUAGUUAGUAGUAGUAGUAGUUAGUAUUAGUGAUAAUUGUAAUUGUAGUAGGGUUAGUAGAGGGCUCGAGGGGGUGUUGGUCUUCUGUGACGGGGGUUUAGAACAUGGUUGGGGGAUAUGGGGAGCUGCUCAAAGCGAUUUUAGUUAAGUUAGGGAGCAUUCCAACAAUGAGUGGGUGCGUGUGUUUUACCACUAAGCAAUGUAAUCAUUGUUGGAAUGCUCCCUAACUUAACUUGUUUGAGGUGUGGAUUCUGUGUAAAUUUACAAACAAAUAAAACAAGCACACCCACAAAGGAUAUGAAAUUACCAACAAAAGUGAAAAUCAAACCCACCCAAACUACAAGAAAAAGCCGACUCACAAUACGCAAACACCAAAACAAACACACCCUUCAGAUAACUACAAAACAAAAGCUCCAAAAUUGCAAAAUAGAAACGCCCCCCGGACUACAAAACAAACAUACCCAUUUUCUCCACAGUAAAUCAUAAAUCAAACAUACGCAAACUAAAAUAAAAGCACCCAACAGAAAAAUACUACAUAAAUGCUUGCAAAAUACAAAAUAAAACCAUGAACCCACGACUACAAAACCAACAGUGUCCACAGAUUCACCAGCGCCAAACUGACGCAAGCGAAUUAAACGCACCCACACUCUGCGCGUACCUGAGUUGCAGGAUGAGGUCUUCUCCUUCCCUGAUGACACUCAUUGCAGCUUCCUGCGGGUCAGGGUUAGAGUCGGGGUUAGUGUGAGGGUUAGCGCCGUGGGGUCAGAGGCAACAGGGGUGUUAGGGUGUUACGACAGGGUCGAAGGUCAGCGGGCUCACCUGCGUAUUCGCCUGCUGCUGCUGCUGCUGGCUGAUCAAAGCCUGAAGAGCUUCAACGGUGUCGGGACAAACACAGAGGUCAGAGGAGAGCUGCUUCUGGAGGCCCUCCAUCCACACUGAGAGCUGGGGGGGGCAUACCAAGGCUCAAUGAACACAGUCUGUGAAUCCAUGCACUUAUUUUGACAAAUGCCUUUCAGAUGUCAGAGCAGGAGGAGGAAGAGGAGUCAGGAUAGAUGAGGAGGUGGAGGAGGAAACAAAAGCGAGGUAGGAGGUGCCGAGGAGUUGAGGUGGAGGCGGGACAUAGAAGGUGUACUACCUCCUUGGUGUGUGUGUAGAAAGACACAGCGAGGUCCAGCAGCAGCUUCCUCUGUUCAACUCUCUGAAUGAACGCCUGCACACACACACACACACACAAUGAGAACACUUCCUGUAGCUGUCCUUCAGAAUAAAAGCCCCCCUGGUAUUUGUUCACCUGCAUGCGGAGCUCCAGGUCUCUGGCCGCCUGGUAGAUCUCUUCCUCCUUACACUCUCCAGACUGAGCCAGCUGAUCGGCUGCUUCCAGAAGCUUCUCUGCAUUAGUGUAGGUGUUCUGUGACACACACACAUCAGUUCGUGCAGGUCUGGGUAGCGUUCAGGUAGUCCGGUCUAGGUGGGGUUCAGGUAGUCCAGGUCUAGGUGGGGUUCAGGUAGUCCGGGGCUAGUUAGUCCACGUCUAGUUGGGGUUUACCUGUGCAACCUGCUGGAAGUCGUCAUGGCGUUUCUGCAGCGCUCGUGCCCGGUGAAGAGACUUCCCCACGCCACUGUGUUUGUUCAGGAAAACCUCCCCGUGCUGCUCCACCCAGUCCAACACCUGAGACCGGUGGAGAAAGAGAGAGACAGGUGGGGCAACUGGCCUCUGAAUACAAGGUGUAGAGUCUGGAUAUGGAUCCGUCGUACCUGUCUGACAUCUUGCUGAAAAACACACAGUUGCAGGCGCUGAUGGAGGCGGAGUUUACGGUGCUGCCACACCCCCUCCACCUCUUGGUGACCCUGCAGAUGACAAAAAGCUCACGUGAGUCCACCUGCCUGUCUGCUGGUCACAUGUGAGACACAUCACCACGAGCCGUACCUGCAUGACCUGGUGCAGAGCUCCCAUGAUGCCGUGCGUGGCGUUGGCGAGAUCCGGCCUGGUUGUGGGGUUGUCGGAGUCGGUUGCUGGGCAACGCUGGAGUACGUCCAUUAAGGCCUUACCGCUCUCACUAACCUGCACGCAAAGAAAGAGACAGGUGUUCAGACAGACAUCAGACAUACAGGUAUGCAGACAGACAGGUGUUGAUAGAGACAGGUACCUGUGUGUAGUUAGCAGAGAUCUCCUCGUUCAGCUCCUGAUGUUUCUUCGUCGCGGCCUCCAGCUCUGUUGCCGCCGAGGGCAACGCCCCCUCAGAGCACACCUGGACCCAGCCCUCCAAUCUGAGCAGGAACUGGACAGAGAGGCAGACGGGUGAGUGGGGAUACCCAGGCGGGUCGUGGCAUGACAGACAGGUAUAAAGGUUAGAGGUGAGACAGGUAGACACGGGCAUGAGACAGGUGCCUCGCUGUUGCGUAAUAACCUGCUCGGCCCCCUGGUGGAAGCUAGUUGCCAUGGCGAGCGUGUUGCUGCGCUCUUCCAGCGCCGCCGUCAGCGCCCUCCAGUCGCCCUGCAGGCGCAGCGACACUCCGGCGAUGCGCUCCGCCCCGUGGUGGCCCGCCUCCGCCAGUCUGGUUGCCACGGUGACCACGCUGUCCACGUUCAUGCUGCCGUUCUGGGGGGUCACACGAGUGCUGUUAGGCAGGCGUCACGGCAACGGCGACAAACAAGCAAAUAAACAAGCAACUCACCAUGCAGUUGGCCGUGAAGUGCUGGUGCUGCGUCUGGAGGUCCAGGGCAUGCUGGUGGUUCUGACCCACCGCAGAUAGGGUCUGCAGGAACAGGUCCUGACUGUGAGCGAUCCAGUCCGACAUCUGGGGGAGGGGAGGGAGAACUUUAUCACAAGUACCAGUACUUUAUCACAAGUACUUUUCACAGGUACCAGUAAGUAAGAUAGACGGGUAUGUGGACGGACAGACAGGCAGAUAUACAGAUGGACACACAGACUGCCGGGUUUGUGGGCAGACAGUUUGUGUCCCUAGAGCAGCAGGUUCCUAAAUGACUCCAGGUGACCCCUGACCCUGAAUCCCACCUUGGUGGCGUCCUGCUCAAACAGGUGCAGCUGCAGCACCUGGUCCAGGUGCAGCUUCCUGUCGCUCCAGCUCUGCAGCAGGUGUCCGCGGGCCCCCUGCAGCCUGUCCAGCAGGGACGACACCUUUGGCGCCACGCUGUGGAAGUCGGCUCCACCCGACAGCCAGCUGCCGUUACUAGCGCCGGCGCCUCCUUCGGUGGAGGCGUCGCCGUGGGAGGGGCCUAGGCGCAUGCGCUGAAGCAAGCUCCUCCCCUCUCUCUCGAGGGAGUCAACCGGUGCCGUUGCGAUGGUGUUACGUAGCCGGCUGUGUUCCUCCAGAAGUCUGGAGACGGAAAGUUAUUAUAUUAUUAUUAUUAAUAAUGAAUAAAUACUCUCUUAAGUUACCACACUAACUCACUUGCGGGCCUCGUCCACGUCCUGUGGCUCCGGUAUGCGGUUCAGCCCGGCCUCCAGCUGCUCCAGCUGACUCAGCAGCUGUGUGGCGGCGCCGGUGAACUCCUCCAGGCCCAGACGGAGCUCGGUCCACUCCACGUGGUCGUACUCCAACGAGCCGCCGAGGUCAGAGGUCAGUUGGGAGGGGUCAACGAGCCGGGACAGACCCUCCACCGACACCAGGCUGGUCUGGACAUGGGUUUGUUAGCAUUAGCAGUACUUCAGUUAGCAUCAGUAGUAAUUUAGUUAGCAUUACUUCAGUUAACAUCAAUAGUAAUUUAGUUAGCAUUAGCAGUACUUCAGUUAGCAUCAGUAGUAAUUUAGUUAGCAUUACUUCAGUUAACAUCAAUAGUAAUUUAGUUAGCAUUAGCAGUACUUCAGUUAGCAUCAGUAGUAAUUUAGUUAGCAUUACUUCAGUUAGCAUCAGUAGUAAUUUAGUUAGCAUUACUUCAGUUAGCAUCAGUAGUAAUUUAGUUAGCAUUACUUCAGUUAGCAUCAGUAGUAAUUUAGUUAGCAGUACUUCAGUUAGCAUCCAUACUGCUGCUAAUUUCGUUAGCAGCAGUAUGGAUUCCAGCAACUAGUCUAGUGAACAAUGUGCUAGCGGCAGUACUACAGCGGUUAUUACCACGGUACUACUCAUAGGGAGUAGUACCUCGAAGCUGAGCUUGGCGCUGCCCAGGUUGGUCUUGUGUUUCUGCCAGAAUGUGUCGGGUUUGAUGAGAAGCGCCGUGUGGAUGUUGGAGGAAAAGGACUCCUGCAGCGUGCGUAGAACCGGCUUCACGCUGUCCCACUUGCUGCCGCGCAUGUCCACCACCACCGUGAAGCCACGAGCGCACACGUCCUCACUGAUGGACAAACAGGCAGAUGGGCGCGGGGGGGUUGAGCGAGACAGGCCGAGCGAGAUACAGGUGCAGAGGUCAUGAGGUGGACAGAGAUGGAGGGCGUUACCAGGGUAUGGUUGCCAGGUAGGUGACCAACUGGCUUAGGUCUUCCUGUUUUAUUCGAUCAUGAUUGGUCCUGGCAGGGAAGGUCAGUAUUGGUCCGCCACGUUUGUCCCGCCCACCUGAGAGAACACAGUCAGUCAAACUGGGCCGCAUCGGGACUGAACUGGGUUAAAUGCGCAGGUGUGUUUGUUUUACCCGACACGAAGGCCACUUUCUCUCUGAGCACCGUCAGCACGUCGACCGCUCGGACGCACUCCGCUUUACCACAACCUCGGGGGUAGAAACACACAUCUGUCAGCUUCAUGGACACGCCCACACCGAUCGCUUCUGACAGACGAGGCAGCGAUGUUGUUCCGUAUUAUUAUUGCGGGCGAACUGCCCGAGCGGGUGGGGGGGGGGGGG
Gasterosteus aculeatus aculeatus (three-spined stickleback) is the source of this 5903-nucleotide long non-coding RNA. The record is from Ensembl. Lineage: Eukaryota; Metazoa; Chordata; Actinopteri; Perciformes; Gasterosteidae.